GAUGAAGAACGUAGCGAAAUGCGAUAAGUAAUGUGAAUUGCAGAAUUCAGUGAAUCAUCGAAUCUUUGAACGCACAUUGCGCCCGCCAGUAUUCUGGCGGGCAUGCCUGUUCGAGCGUCAUUACAACCCUCAGGCCCCCGGGCCUGGCGUUGGGGAUCGGCGGAGCCCCCCGUGGGCACACGCCGUCCCCCAAAUGCAGUGGCGGACCCGCCGCAGCUUCCAUCGCGUAGUAGCUAACACCUCGCGACUGGAGAGCGGCGCGGCCACGCCGUAAAACACCCAACUCUUCUGAAGUUGACCUCGAAUCAGGUAGGAAUACCCGCUGAACUUAAGCAUAUCAAUAAGCGGAGGA
Molecule: unclassified non-coding RNA, 352 nt
Filed under: soil metagenome
Description: partial contains 5.8S ribosomal RNA, internal transcribed spacer 2, and large subunit ribosomal RNA
Rfam family: 5.8S ribosomal RNA (bases 1-120)
Source: RNAcentral